GACGAACGCUGGCGGCGUGCUUAACACAUGCAAGUCGAGCGGUAAGGCCCUUUCGGGGGUACACGAGCGGCGAACGGGUGAGUAACACGUGGGUGACCUGCCCUCAGCUCUGGGAUAAGCCUGGGAAACCGGGUCUAAUACCGGAUAUGACUCCAUGACGCAUGUUGUGGGGUGGAAAGCCUUGUGCGGCUGAGGACGGGCCCGCGGCCUAUCAGCUUGUUGGUGGGGUGAUGGCCACCAAGGCGACGACGGGUAGCCGGCCUGAGAGGGCGACCGGCCACACUGGGACUGAGACACGGCCCAGACUCCUGCGGGAGGCAGCAGUGGGGAAUCUUGCGCAAUGGGCGAAAGCCUGACGCAGCGACGCCGCGUGAGGGAUGACGGCCU
RNAcentral lists this ribosomal RNA (387 nucleotides) under uncultured bacterium. Its description in RNAcentral is "bacterial SSU rRNA". It matches the Rfam family "Bacterial small subunit ribosomal RNA", at positions 28 to 417 of the family's 1533-position model. The record is from RNAcentral.